GGGUGGUUAGCUCAGCGGUAGAGCACUGUCUUCACACGGCAGGGGUCACUGGUUCGAACCCAGUACCACCCACCA
RNAcentral lists this transfer RNA (75 nucleotides) under Nitrospira sp. RNAcentral describes it as "tRNA-Val". It matches the Rfam family "tRNA". From Rfam's summary of the family: Transfer RNA (tRNA) molecules are approximately 80 nucleotides in length. Their secondary structure includes four short double-helical elements and three loops (D, anti-codon, and T loops). RNAcentral also lists the same sequence under 8 other names. The record is from RNAcentral. Lineage: Bacteria; Pseudomonadati; Nitrospirota; Nitrospiria; Nitrospirales; Nitrospiraceae.